RNAcentral lists this transfer RNA (67 nucleotides) under Pseudolycoriella sp. XQM-2020. RNAcentral describes it as "tRNA-Trp". Lineage: Eukaryota; Metazoa; Arthropoda; Insecta; Diptera; Sciaridae. The record is from RNAcentral.
AAAAUUUUAAGUUAAAUAAACUAAUAACCUUCAAAGUUAUAAAUAUAUUUUUUUUUUAUAAAUUUUA